UACGAAGGGGGCUAGCGUUGUUCGGAUUUACUGGGCGUAAAGCGCGGGUAGGCGGAUCGUUAAGUCGGGGGUGAAAGCCCAGAGCUCAACUCUGGAAUUGCCUUCGAUACUGGCGGUCUGGAGCAGAGAAGAGGCGCGUGGAAUUUCGGGUGUAGAGGUUAAAUUCGUAGAUAUUCGGAGGAACACCAGUGGCGAAGGCGGCUCGCUCGUCUCUUGCUGACGCUGAGACGCGGAAUCGUGGGGAGCAAACAGG
This 253-nucleotide ribosomal RNA is filed under the name uncultured bacterium. Its description in RNAcentral is "partial 16S ribosomal RNA". It matches the Rfam family "Bacterial small subunit ribosomal RNA", at positions 524 to 776 of the family's 1533-position model. The record is from RNAcentral.